CCUACGGGAGGCAGCAGUAGGGAAUCUUCGGCAAUGGACGAAAGUCUGACCGAGCAACGCCGCGUGAGUGAAGAAGGUUUUCGGAUCGUAAAACUCUGUUGUUAGAGAAGAACAAGGACGUUAGUAACUGAACGUCCCCUGACGGUAUCUAACCAGAAAGCCACGGCUAACUNA
This 174-nucleotide ribosomal RNA is filed under the name Enterococcus faecalis. RNAcentral describes it as "partial 16S ribosomal RNA". It matches the Rfam family "Bacterial small subunit ribosomal RNA", at positions 338 to 504 of the family's 1533-position model. The record is from RNAcentral. Lineage: Bacteria; Bacillati; Bacillota; Bacilli; Lactobacillales; Enterococcaceae.